AACGAACGCUGGCGGCAUGCCUAACACAUGCGAGUCGAACGAGACCUUCGGGUCUAGUGGCGCACGGGUGCGUAACGCGUGGGAACCUGCCCUUAGGUUCGGAAUAACUCCCCGAAAGGGGUGCUAAUACCGGAUAAUGUCUUCGGACCAAAGAUUUAUCGCCUUUGGAUGGGCCCGCGUUGGAUUAGCUAGUUGGUAGGGUAAAAGCCUACCAAGGCGACGAUCCAUAGCUGGUCUGAGAGGAUGAUCAGCCACACUGGGACUGAGACACAGCCCAGACUCCUACGGGAGGCAGCAGUGGGGAAUAUUGGACAAUGGGCGAAAGCCUGAUCCAGCAAUGCCGCGUGAGUGAUGAAGGCCUUAGGGUUGUAAAGCUCUUUUACCCGGGAUGAUAAUGACAGUACCGGGAGAAUAAGCGCCGGCUAACUCCGUG
RNAcentral lists this ribosomal RNA (433 nucleotides) under uncultured bacterium. Its description in RNAcentral is "partial 16S ribosomal RNA". It matches the Rfam family "Bacterial small subunit ribosomal RNA", at positions 29 to 507 of the family's 1533-position model. The record is from RNAcentral.